UACGUAGGGAGCAAGCGUUGUUCGGAUUUACUGGGCGUAAAGGGCGCGUAGGCGGCGCGGUAAGUCACUUGUGAAAUCUCUGAGCUUAACUCAGAACGGCCAAGUGAUACUGCAGUGCUAGAGUGCAGAAGGGGCAAUCGGAAUUCUUGGUGUAGCGGUGAAAUGCGUAGAUAUCUGGAGGAACACCGGUGGCGAAGGCGGCAUCCUGGACCGAUACUGACGCUGAGGAGCGAAAGCCAGGGGAGCAAACGGG
RNAcentral lists this ribosomal RNA (253 nucleotides) under uncultured bacterium. RNAcentral describes it as "partial 16S ribosomal RNA". It matches the Rfam family "Bacterial small subunit ribosomal RNA", at positions 524 to 776 of the family's 1533-position model. The record is from RNAcentral.